RNAcentral lists this long non-coding RNA (290 nucleotides) under Elaeis guineensis (African oil palm). RNAcentral describes it as "long non-coding RNA (EGUI_LNC065096)". Lineage: Eukaryota; Viridiplantae; Streptophyta; Magnoliopsida; Arecales; Arecaceae. The record is from RNAcentral.
GGUUCAUUUUCUGCCUGUCAAACUUUCAAGUUCAACUUGAUAGGCAUCAGUUCCUUCUCUAAGGAACUCCUUUCCAAAAGGAAUGCCCUACUGCUGAUGAGCAUCUUAUGUUCUUCAGUAUGAUAGAAUUAGUAACCCUUAAAUAACUAUUGGACCAUGAACCAAGUUUAUCUGUAUGCAAAUCUUUGACAUAGACCGAUCAACUCCAAACCCAAAGGUGAGAGAGUCUAGGUCUAUGCCUGAUCCAUAUCUCAUAUGGAAUCUGCACAACAAACUUACUCAGUAUAUUU